GGGAAAGGUUGGGUGUGCGUAGGACGCUCACCUUUGAAGAUGAUGGCACGAGCCAAUUAUAAUCUCAAAGGCAGUGACAAAUGUUGAAAGUAGCAUUGAAGCCACAACAUAAACCUAAAUAUUCCUUCUCUGUGGAUAGAUGAACCACAUACCAUACUUCAGAGUAGUUAAGAGCCAGUACAUCUCCUCUGUAGACCACUUCCGUUACUUACCACAAUAUCACAUUCAAAUUUCACGCAGAUGUGGGAUUCCUGAACCGAUCUCUAUUCUCCGUUGGUGAUCUGCAUCUGCCUCAUUCCUCGGUGGCAUAGCCGGAGGGCUGGAGGUGGCCUGUUUUCCUCAGGCUCGACCGCGUAUAUUGGUACAGCACAUUCCCAUUGACAUCAUAGAAGGUGAACUCAGCUUGGUUGUGAUCGAGCUGGAGGGACAUGAACCCUUGCCCAUCAUAGAAGAACUCAAGGUUGUCUUCGUUGGGCUGGAACACUCCUCUCCAUGCUUUCGAACCGCCUCCGCUCGUGAAGUAUUGGAUUGGGCUGGAACAACAGAAACUUGAGCGUUAGCAUUUGGUCAUGAGUUACUGCUAAAGAUGAGUAUGUACCAACAAAUCGAUGCUAACCUGUUUUUGCUGCUAAUAUGUUCCAGGCAGUGGUCGUGUCCGUUGAUGUAGAAGUCCACGCCGUUGGCCUGCAAAGGGUAUGAAACUGUCAUCGAGAGAUUCCUUUCCAUAGAGCUUCUGAAGCUAAUAAUAGGUAUAGUUCUAAGUAACCUGGAGGACUGGAAGAAGUAGCUGCAGAAGCUCCUUGGUGUCACCAUGAUCACUGACACUCCUCAUGGUAUGAUGGCCCACGGCAACCCUCCACGUUGCUGUUGAUUUCUUCAUGGCCUCGUCCAGAUCCUGUCCACCCACACAACGAAAGAGGUUUGAAAUAAUUUUGCUUUGAAGCAUCAUGAUGGCCUGUUUAUCAUUGAUGAGCUCAUUCAGGAUAUGCACCUUCAGCAAAUUGGCUAAGUAUUUUUCUCGAGGCGCCACUCCUCUCCAGUCAUAAUGAUCAUCUUUAGGGUGAGUCCAGUACUUGAGUUGAAACGGAGUGGUGUCAACAAAGAAGAAAUCCACAAUUUCUGGUAAAAAAAAGAAUGAUAUGUUAGCAGUUAGUCCCUUCUUUUUUUUCAUCACAGUUUUCACACCUUGUUUGUUCAUUGUUUCAGAAAAAAAAUACGACUCUGUACCUGCGUUAACAAUAAACGACCUCAUGCAAAUGAAUCGGUUGUCGAUCUUUUGCAGGACUGGACUCAGCUGUGCAAGCACAUCACCCCUGUAGUCAUGAUUUCCCAGAACUGAAAAGGAAAAAUGAAACAUGAUUGAUUCCCACGAGCAAGAUGAGUGAUGGAAAGCAAAAGCGAAAACAAAAGCUUACCGAGGUACCACGGCUUCUGCAAGCUCUUCGCCGUGUAGAUGUUGGUGAAGGAUUGCUCGAACGCCUCGUCAUCUGUGCCCGUCAGGCCGUUCUCGUAGAAGUUGUCGCCGGUGGAUAUGACGAAGUCGAUGUCGAGCAGCUCCCCAACCUUCCCCAUCUACAUUGCAAACCACUCAACUCAUCAUGGAGUACUACUGGCGGUAACUUUUAUUGAGUGCACAACAGCUGGCUCCUUAAAAAGAAAGUAGAUCGGAGCAUGCGCUGCGCCGGCCAUUGGGGCAUCCACGACUUUUUCUUUGAGUAAAGAAAACUGGAGUGGCAACCGGUGAUGGAGACUUGCACUAUUCUCAUUCCUCCUCCACCCAAUCAGAGCAGCCGGCCAAUCGGCGGUUACCCUGAUAGAGUACUUUGAUCAGGAUCGUCCGAUAGAUCCCCUACUUCGAUGAACAGUAUGACCUUGACCACCAAGAUUACAAUCCAAUCCGAUCCUAUCUAGAGAUAGGAUUACUACUGCUCAGAAUCGUAAAAGAGUUGCAUGUUCUUCUCGAUCGAUUACUCGAAUGUGGCGUACCUGCUCGGCGACCCUAGAUUGGUUGUACGUGCCCUUGCGGCCCCAGUCGCCGACGACGAGCAGGCUGAGCGACCCGUCGUUCUUGGCCGGGUGCUCCAUCCGGGUCAGCUCCGCGGCGGCCGGCGCGCACAGGGCCGCGGCCAGCAGGGUGAGGGCCGCGGCGGCGGCCAUGGCGUCGCUGCCCUUCGCCAUCGGCCCCCGCCACUCGAAGCGAACUGAAAAACGAGGUGCCACGACCGGGUCGGGGGCACCGACUGCCAAUAUAUAACAGCAGCAGUUGGGCGCGACGGCAAGUCACCACUCACCACUGCCAGGUCAGUCAGGUUGGGUGUCUUGCCAGCAUUGGCGGCGCGGCGCGGGAAGGGAUGCGAGGCGGAGAGGGGGUGGCGACUGGCGGAGGCUCCUGCUGUCCCUGUCCGUCCAAUGGGGGCGCGUGAACGGGCGAGAAACUGACAACGUAACAAGGCCCCCCACACGCCUGCCAACCAUUCCUUCUUUCCGACGAUUGCUUGUGGCUCGGAGGCGUCCAGAUCGUUCUGCUUUCGUGUCAUCCACGCCCAGCGAGCGAUGAUGCCGUCCGAAAUGAGAGUCGGCAAUGAUGACGCGAUCCGUGGGCUGUGCUCGCAUUAUUGGAGCGAUCAGAGGAGUGGGUGAGCUACGCAGCCAAGUGGAGUGAUGGGCGCGGCGAUAGCCGAUGACUUGGAUUCGUUCUGACCACCAAUUUGCUGGUAGAGAGCUAGCUAGGCUCACUGCAUGCAGCUUGGCAUUUUUGGCAGUGGCUGCUACGAUCCAAGGGUUCCGCUCGAAAGCCCAAUCAUUCGGGCGCUUUGAUUUGAUUGGAUUUGCUGCCGUGUUUUGCUCCACUGAAAAUGUGGACAAACCAUGUGCUGAUUGUAGCAGGCAGGAUAGGGCAGGGUGCACGUGUAACAUCCCGGAUUUUCCGGAAUGUUAUCUUAGUGCAAAAAUCCUGAAUUUCAAAAAAAAAAAAAUCGUGUUGUGCCCUAGUUAGAACAUAAUAUAAGGUUAAUUUCUCUCUCCCUCGAACUCUUAGUAAAUUUAAUUGAAAUUAAGGACUAUUAGAUGCUAGUGUGAAUAUUUGAAGUCCUUUUGAAUUUAAUUGCAAUCUCCUUGUUAUAAUUGAUUGUUGGAUUUUCUUGUUUGGCUUUCAAUUUUGUGUGCACCAAUUGUGUGGAGUUUGAAUUUGAAUGGGCCACUCAAAUUAAAACUCAAACUCUAAUACCUCUAACACCCCUUUGGCCCACAGCCCAAGCAAGCCCAGUCGGCCUCACCCGCUCGCGCGCCCUUUCCCUUCUCCCCCGCGAGACGCCUAAACCGGCCCAGCCCACGAGCCACCGCAGCCUAGCUCCCCGUCGCCCCAGCCCGCGCGACACUUCGCCUGCUCCCCUUGACCGGCCGACGCACGGGACCCACUCAUCAGCCAUUCCCCUCCUUCCUUCUCUCGCAGCGACCAGAAGGUUCCGCUCUGCUCCGCCCCGUCGCCCUGCUCCGACCGCCGCAGCGCCCCGCCUCGCCGCUCCGCCCGCUCUGCCGCCGCCGCUCGCCCCCGCGCGCUUCGCCCCGCCUCGCGUCGCCGCUCGCCCCGCUCCCCGACAGACAAGCGAAACCGCCGCGCCCUGCUUUCCCCAACCGCAUCGCCCCUUUUUCCCUUCCGCCGCGGCUCUGCUAGCUCGCGUCACCAGCCUGCGCCGCGCCCCGCCUGUCUCCGCUUCGCGACACGGGAGCGAAACCGUCGCGCCCCCGUGUCAGCCACCAACCCGCGAACCCUAACCCUAGCCCCGUGCCACAGCCGCAGCGGUGCCGCCACGCGUCCCGGCCCGGCCGUCGAGAACCCCGGCCGCAGCCGCUCCCGAACCCUAGCGCUCCCUAUAAGUCCGAGGCCGCUUCGCCCCAAACCCUAGAAGCCCCAGCCUCCCUUCCGCCGCCGCCACACGAAGAGGAGGAGGAGGAGGAGCCGGAGCUGCGCAAGGAGGAGAAGGCCGACGCCCCGGAGCUUCACCAGGCCGGCGCCCCGUACGACGACCCCAACGCCGCGGAUCUCCCUGCACGGCCUCGACCCACCGGCUCCAACCCGCCACCGCACCGAGCGCCAUCUCCCUCAGCCCCGCCGGUGAGCACUGCUGCCGCCGCCCCUUUCCUUUCUUCCUUGCUGCCGGCGUGGGCCAUGCGCCGCCGAUGAACCAUCCGUAGCCGGCCGUAGGACUCCCCACACCCCUCCGGCCGCUGUGCCGUCCUUUCUUGCAGGAGCCCGACGCGCCGCCCUCUGUCCCGCUACCGCCGUCGCCACUCGCCGCCGCGCCGCGUCGCGGACCCGGGUCGCCGGUGCUCCGCGCACGGCACGGCCACGCCGCGGCCCUGGGCAGCCAGGCUCCGCGCGCGUGCGUGCGCACCCACACCGCAAGGCCGAGCCACGUCCAGCCUAGCCACGCCCACGCCACGGCCACGCCGUGCGCGAUCACCCCCGCGACGCGACCGCGACGUCGCGUUCGCGUCGCGGCCAAGCCUUUGCGGCAUAUCCCCGAGCACCUUUCGGGCGCUCUCUCACACGCACACACGCACACACGCACACGCGUCUGCCACACCGGACCCGAGCCCCGCCACACGGGAUCCCGCGGAGGCCGACAAGUGGGGCCGCCCUGUCAGAGAAGACGGAGACAGAAGCCACCGGGCCGCGAGGUGGAGAAGGCGAAGCGCAGCCCAGCCAGAGGAGAAGAAGGAGAGAGAGAGGGCCCAGCCCAGGAAGGAGAAGGAGCCGGCCCACGGGAGGAUCCAGCCGAGCCACUCUUUCACGCGUAGCCAGCCCGUUCGCCCGAGCCGGCCUGCUGAGCCGCAGGCCGAGCUGCCCCUGUGAACCUAAGCCGAGCCGAUGGGCUUCGAGCCGGCCCAUCACCUCUUUUGGCCCAAGAACCAAACCGGACCCUUUCUUUGUCUUUUCUUUUCCGGCCCGACCCAAGGGGCCCACCUGCCAGCCUCGUGCUGAGGCUGACCAGUGGGGCCCGACGACCGCUGACCGACCCUUGACCGUUGACCGUUGACCGGUCAACGUUGACCGGUCAACGCUGACGUCAGCAGGGCCCACUGCUGACGUCAUCUUCCCGGACCCCCUCUGCUGACGUCAUGCUGACGUCAGCAUGCCACGUGGCAUACCCUGGUGCUACCACGUGUCCCUGUUUUCAGGCCCUCAUUUCUGAAAAUCUUUUAUUAAUUUCAGAAAUAGGUUUUUCCUUAGAAAAUUUAUAAUAAAUUAUCCGGACCUCCGAAAAUUAUGAAACCAGUUUCAUAAUUCUUCUAAAAUCAUGAACCACCUGUUAGAAUAGGUAUUGUGGUGAUUUGGAUCUUAUUUGCAACCUUUUUGUGCACUUUUGCACUUUGGACCCUACUCUUACUCGUAUUUACGAAUAGGACCCGUCCGCGAGGAGCUGACCGACGACCAGGACUACCCGGAGGCUCAGGAGGACUUCGCGGAGACGCCAGGUUCACGCCCAUCUACGAAUUGAACUCCUAUUAGGCAUUUGCUUGUAGAUAUGCUAUUGCUGUAUGUGUAUAUAUAUAUAUAUAUCGAGAUAAAUCUGCAUGGCCUCUUUACGAUCCAUACUCCUUGUUAACCCAUUUUGAAAUGUUUAUUAUAUGAUAUGCCUUGUAAAUCCUUGAAAGUGUAUGUGUGGGAUAUGGACGGAUAGUCUUGGCGUGUGUGGAGAGGUUCCUAUCAGGAGUUGGUGACUAGGGCUUAGCCGGGAGUGGGCGACCUAACUCGAUCAUGGAUCGAGGGCUUGGGGUGUGUAUCUUGGCACACCCUACGGAGUACCUGUGGCGGGUACAGUUUUGUUUACGUGUUGAGGUGUUUGGGGCACCCGUUAAGGGUGCAGUUGCGGACCACCGUGGUGGAUACGCGUGUGACGAAGAUGCCCGCUCCGGCAGAUAAGGACCGGGUGAGAGUAACCAUGACUUGUGGGACUUUGUAAGCGUGCACACCACUUACCCAUUAUGAGGGUGGGCCCGGUCCGGACUUAGCAAGCGCGGUACCAAGCCGGUAGGAGGAUCGAGUAUCGGUGCAGGGGAAGGAGGUGCUGACCUCACGUUCCCCGAGACGCAUGGGAGGCUUCACAGUCCCGGGGCGACCUCUCGCGGGAGGAUGCGCCCAAGACCCGGGAAAGCCGGAUGGUGCCGUGGCUCCUAUUUCCGUUUCGUAGACCGGUGUUUCGUAUACUAGUCGGCUGAUCUCCGGCUAGUGUCGAUUCGAGUGGGACCAGGUGUACAACCCCUGCAGGGUGAAAACUAUACGUAUAGCCGCGUCCUCGGUUAUGGACAUCCCUACUCUUCUGUUGCUCUUAUUAGUUAGUGAUACUCAUGAUCUCUACCUCCCUCUAAAUUAUUGUCCUGCCAGGGGGCAGUUGAGAUGCGAGGAGAGGGAGUCCUCGCAUCGACUUGGUGGUGUGGAAGGUGUGUGUGACCGGGAGUCCGGAAUGCCGGAAGGGCCCGAGUCGGGAAUGGAAGGAGAUGUGUAUUUAUAUAUAUAUAUAUAUAUUAUUGCAUGCAUAGGGAAACCUCCAGCUUUACCCUUGAACUCUGUUAUUCCCAUAGUAUAGACCACAUAAAGCUUACAUACGGAUGGUGACGUGAACCUAUCCCAAUCCUUGGGGAUAGCCUGGUACGAUGCAGGAUCCGACCCGGAAUUCGACCCCAACGACGACGGAUGGUACGACUGAGGCCCGAGCUACGCUCAAGUCGCCUGUGGAGGUGGAACCCGAAGAUGGAGGACGGCCGAAGACCUAGCUACCGCUAUGCGCUUACUGUUUGUUCGAUUUAGCCGAAAGGCUUGUAAUAAAUUCCGUACUACAGAUCCUCUGGAUUUAUGUAAUAAUUAAACCCGUGAUUGACCUUUUAAUGAGUAUGACUGUGAUAUUAUGCCUGAAAUGAGUUCUGUAUGUGAUAGCGCUUGAUCCAGGUACUAUCACGACGAUACAGGGAGUCGGAUUCCUCGAUACGGGAAUCCGGUUCAUUUCAGUACGUAUCUCCGGCCGGUCGAUGCCCAGCGAUGGGACCCUGGCGCUCCAUGGGGCGACGAGACGAGACGGGGCCUCGUGGUUGGAUCCCGGCGGCGUUUUCUUGGCCGGACCAGAGCUCACAGCCCGGACAGGUGAGAACUGGCGACGGACGUGAACUGGCAGGAUAUCUCAUAUCGCCUCGAUUUGGCCUCGUUCGCAUGUGCACAUUAUUUCGUUUUUUAGUCUUGUGGGCCGAGAUGUGCAUGCAAGAUGGUGCUAACGAAUGAUGAUAUCGCAUUAUCUUUCCCCCCCAAAAAUGAGACAGACAGACACACAGAAAGGAGUUUCGCCGUCGACGAACAAUCUGCAGUUUUGGAUAGUGCCAGCGUCGUAUUUUACGUGAAGUUUUCUCUUGCUUUUGGAGAAAAAGUUAUUUUUUUGCUUGCAAUGCUAACCGUGGUCUGACUGACUUGCUGGAGGCAAAUGUAAAGCAAAUCGCUUGCCAACUCAUGAGGAGCAAGAAAGUCUCGCAAGGCCGGCACAAGCUUACAAAGUUACACAGGCGUUGGACAACGCAGAGGGGAAGCAUCGACAACACCUACUACCACCACAUCGAGAAUGACUGAAACCGGACGCCCUUCCCUCCAUCCUGCUCACCUUUUGCAAGGUCCGGAUCUCCCCAAUUUCACAUCGCAUUUUUGUAAAAAUCGAUAGCUUGACCAGCCUAAUCCUCCGACUGAUCCGGUCCGCAACGGUUUCAUUCUUCGUCAUCGAGAUAGGUGGAGGGCUGGGAAUGGCCCGUCUUGCGCGAGCUCCACUGGUACAGGCUGUUCCCGGAGACAUCGUAAAAGGUGAACUGAGCCUGCUCCUGGUUCAGCUGGAGGGACAUGAACCCUUGCCCGUCGUAGAAGAACCGGAGCUUGUCCUUGUUUGGCUGGAACACUCCUCUCCAUGCUUUCGAACCGCCGCCGCUCGUGAAGUACUGGAUCGGACUGCAACGGCGGGAGCAAGGUCCGCAAGGGUUAAAGCCUGAUGAUCAUGUUGCCAUGCAGGUUCUACUCCCAAAAAUACUUAUGGGGAACUUCAGCUGAAAUGAUGCUAAACCUGUCUCUGCUGCUAAUGUGCUCGAGGCAGUGAUCAUGCCCGUUGAUGUAGAAGUCGGCGCCGUUUUCCUGAAUGGAUGGAAAUUUUCGUCAAAAGAUUGUUUCCAUGAGCCUUUUGAAACUAGUUUCUGAAUUACCUUGAGGACAGGAAGCAGUAGUUUUAGAAGCUCCUUGGUGUCCCCAUGGUCACUGACACUCCUCAUGGUGUGAUGCCCAACAACAAUCUUCCACAUUGCAGUUGAUUUCUGCAUAGCCUCAUCCAAGUCCUGCAUUGCAGAACAAAAAAGUUCAAAACAAUUUUGCUUGCAAAAAGAAGGUAGCCCAUCAAGCAUUGAUGACGAUUUCGUUCCAAAUGCGCACACCUUCAGCAAAUUGGCUAUGUAUUUUCCUCGAGGUGCCACUCCUCUCCAGUCAUAGUGAUGUUUGCCAGGGUGAGUCCAGUACUUCUUUUGGAAUGGAGUGGUGUCAACGAAGAAGAAAUCCACAAUUUCUGACAAAGAUCAGGAACAACGUCAAACAUGCAGUCUCGUUUACCUGCCUAAAGUUUUGGCAAAUUUGUGAUCCUCUCUAGGUUCAAAUGAAUUACUUUUUUCCGUACCUGCGUUAACAAUGAAGGAUCUCAUGCAAAUGAAUCUGCUAUCGAUCUUUCGCAAGACAGGGCUAAGCUGUGCCAGCGCAUCGCCCCUGUAAUCGUGAUUUCCCAGAACUGAAAAAAAAAUAUGAGGCAGUCUCAGUUCACACAAAUUUCAUCACCCUUCAUGCCAAAAUGGUAAUAACAAACGCAAAUAGUGGACGAACAAGGAAGAUUAAUCACCUAGGUACCAUGGCUUCUGUAAGCUUUGUGCUGUGUAGAUGUCAGUGAACGAUUCUUCAAAUGCUUGGUCAUGUACGCCCUUCAGGCCGUUGUCGUAGAAAUUGUCCCCGGUGGAUAUAACAAAGUCGAUGCCGAGCUUCUCGCCAACCCUUCCCAUCUACAUGAAAAGAUUGAUUAGUAUUUUCUCCACUCUCAAGAACCAAACGAUAUUUGGAGUGUACGUGGUUAACUUGCAUUGUGACGAUCAAAAUUUCAGUUUUUUAUUGAAAAACAAACAAUCAGGCAUCUUUAAAUAUUUGGAUGUGAUAUAGUAAAAUGAUUUGUGUAUAUUCAUCGCAAAAAUAAUAUCGUAAUAUUUGUAGGCUAAUAAAUUUAAGCAUGUAUGUUACCAUGAUAGAAAUUAAAGGUGAAAGUUGUUUGUUAAAAUUAUGCAAAUGUCUAAAAUUUCAACUCUCCCUCUUCAUUGCAGGGACUAUUAUUGUUUACGGUCAACAAAGUACUAAUGUUAUCAAUAAUGAAUACCUUCGAGUAUGCAAAAGAAAAGAAAAAUAUUUCUCACCAAAUUGGCCAAUCAAGUAUGACUCGUUUUUUAUUAUCACAAAAAGAAGAAGAAGAAGUUAGACUUGGUUUCAUUGCCAGUUGGUGCCAAUGAUGACAAGAAAAUGCAUGAGAUUUGAUGCCAAUGGUGAGGCAUGUGGUUCUUAACAAAUUUUUGCUUCGUUCCUGGCAGGUCUGAUCCAUCAUCCGUUACGGCGCACGCAGAAGACCAAGUUAGGAGCAGUCUCGGGAUGCGCACCCGUAAACACCGAUGACCUUUUCAAAUUUUAUAAGCAUAAAUACUUGUACGACUAAACAAAGCUGAAUCCGCCGCAUCUGGCGAUCGGAACUACCGAAGUAGGAGACGCGAGGCAGAUCCUCCGCUCGCAAAUCCAAUCAACCAUCAUCCGCGCGCACAGCAGCAAACUAAAGGUUCUACUAACUACUACUGUGAUGAACAGCAGCGACCUUAGGCUUGACGCUAACUACAAUCUUUUUUGUUUCUUUCUAUGGAUGAACAAAGAAACUGGUAUGAUAUGAACAGUGAACAGUCAACAAUGGGAUCAAGCUAGAUGCAUGGCAGGAAGCCAUGAACAAAUAAAGCAGGUGAAAAUGCCUCUUACCUGCUCCGCGACCAGUGACUGGUUGUGCGUGCCCCCGCGCCCCCAGUCGCCGACGACGAGCAGGCUGAGCGUGCCGUCGUUCCUGGCCGGGUGCUCCAGCCGGGGCAGCGCGGCCGCCGCCGUGCCGCAGCAGAGCGCGGCCGCGGCCAGGAGCGCCAGCGCCGCGGCCAUGCCAGCGCGGGCGUUCGCCAUGUACCCCGGGGGCUCGAUAGGCCGCUCGCUCGAAGCACGACGACCCGGAAGCUGAGACGAGAGGGGGCCCGGCGCGCCGGCGGAUGAUAUAUACCGCCAGGCCGCCAGCACAGACACAGAGGCAGGCAGACGGCGGCGCGCUCCGUCCAGCGGGCCCCGCGCGGCGCCGUUGAGUCGACGCGUUUAGGCUGCGACUUGAUCGAGUUCCCGUUGCAUUAUCGGCGCCGUUGACGUGUUCAGUUUGGGACUCGAUCGCAUUCGCGUUGCAUCAUCGGCGCCGUGGAGUGGAUGGCACUCGGCUGGCUGGAUCAACUUCGAUAUGAACGUACCUUUUUUUUGGAAAAAAAAAACUUUGAUAUGAACGGACGGCGACGAACAUGGAAUGCCAGCUGAUGAUCCGCUCGUGCUACAUGAGAUUUAAUUUGAGCGAGCUGGUAAGUGUGCACGGCAGGGCUCGGAUCGGAGCCGGAUCACCAACCAGUCGUUGAGCUGUUGGGGGGCGAGCAGGAACAUGGAUCGCCAUGUGCGAACUGCGCCCAAGCAUGCGAGCGUGAUCGUAGGGUUUGGGCGCAUCCGAUCCCCAACCCAUGCCGGCACACAACGGCAUAUUCUCCGGCCAGGUAGGCAUCGGCGGCGGCGAUAGAUGAACCGUGCACGUAGCUUGGUAGAGAAGUGGUUCGAGCUCCAGCCGGUGCUGGUGGGAAUAAUACCGUGUCCGUGCCCUCCGUGUGCGUGCGGGUGCGGCGUCAGCGGUGCACCCCGGGAUGCCUAGGCGACGCGCGCUCCCUGUUGUGGGUGUAAAUAAUAGCUCGUAGCUGCCCGCUGCCACGUCUGUUCCCUCUCGCCUUUUUCAGGAAACGUUGUGCCGUGCCAGGUUCCGUGCUCGUCGCUGGCAUGGUGGUGCGGACAUGCGGUUGGGUGCGAAUAUUCGAGGUACAUUUUCGGAGGGGGAUCGCUUGAUGCGUCGCAUAUUCCUCGGUGCCGGACCGUGCCGUGCGUCUUCUUUCUUUCUACUCUCCAGAGCAUAAUUGUUCAGCCUUCAGCGCUACGCGGACGCGAGUCACACGCGACGAGUUAUUUGUACACGGCACAUGUUAAAAUCAUGGAGGCUAGUGCACGGUAAUAACACGGUCGAGCGUGCGAAAAAAAAAAAGAGUGAAGCGUUUUCAAAGCCAGUGGGCCUCGAACGGGCCGGUGCUCAGGAGUCUAACGGCUUCACUGACUGGGCCGUAAACACGCAAGUUCUCCUGGGCUCUACGAACUCGGCCUGCCCUUGGAGCCUGCGGCGGCAGCGGCGGGAAGAAGAAGAAGACAGACAAACACAGGCGACAACCAGCCCAAGUCCAGCGCGGCAGCGCAGGGCGAGCGCCGAGCGAGAGGGCGGCGCUGGGAGACGCGCGGCCGUGGGAGUUGGGAUGCCGGUGCUGAAAAACCGCGUAGAGAGGGGGUAGCGUUCCGGCUUCCGCUGCCUGCCCGUGGCGCCGCUCUCUACCCCCCCAAAACCUCAAUCGUUCCAUGGGCGCCGCCGGAACCAGGCGCCACGCCAUGCGACUCUGCUGAUCGUUUCGCCGUCCUCCAACGACGGAAUCAAGGUCAGAUCGCGUGCUCUGAUGCCGAGACCGAACCAUCUUCCCGCCCCUCGCCUGGUAAUUUUUGCCAUUUCUGCUAUCCAAUGCAUUUUUCCUUUCUCGGGCUUUCCCCCCAUUUUCAUCUAAUACUAUCCCCAUGAUAUAUCGAACCCUGCAUAGCUCCCCCGUGUUUGCGUUUGAAGAACAGCAAGGAGGAGCUCCCGGUGUAGUGGGACUAUAUGCUCCCAAUGUCUCUGUCGUCGGUAACUUGGUACGCAAUCUGCAUUGCCACCACGAGAAACCAGAGUCCAGACUGAUUACUGGUCAGUCUGCCAAUCUCAUUGCCUGACACGAUCCGUCAGUUGUGUUAGUCUAUCUAUACAAGCACAUCACAGCCAAUCUGACAAGACCAGGGAAAAAUGAUUAAUAGAUAUAUGUCGUUAGCGUAUCCAUAAAACCGACAAGGCUUCAGGCUUAAAUUAACCCGCAUGAUUAGGUUGGGGGAACUCACUAACUCUGCUCUGUUCCUCCUGCCAGCCCACCAACAAAUGAUCCCACCGGUGCGAAAACAUACCCCCUCACAUGAAGUUAGCUUAAGCGUGUAGUUUAUGAUAUGAUCUUCCCAACUUUGUAUACUCCACAUCGCUGUUCCUGUCGCAUGGGCCAGGGUCGGCAAGUGCCAAGUCCGUUACUGGCGAAACCUUAGGCGUGUGCAACCAGACAAGCACAAUGAUCCAUCUGAUGCCCAACCAAGCCGGCAAUAAUUCCGGUUGUUAACUAACUUGAAUUUGGUUUGUCUUCGCCACCGUACCCUCGCCCUAUGAGCUAUGACCGGCGGCACCGAUCAAUGAAAGGGGAAGCUGACGAUUUGGUAAAGUAGUGUGGUCACUUACAAUGUUAGAUCAUGUGAUGGCUAACAGGGGUAAAUUUGGCAUUGAUCGCAAAAGGAAGUAUAAAUUUAGUAUCUGUAUGCUUUGUAUCUAACUUCUGUCAGGCAUGCAUGACACAAGCAAUUGGCUCCGGCCAAAACUAUUGCCCAAGAUGCUAAGCUAGUGAUGCAACUUGACUAGUGACAUUGACCGCUGGAGUAGCUACACCUCAUCCCAGGCCCACGGUGAGCGUAGGGAAGUUGGGAUGGCCACAAGAACGUACAGAAAAGUCAUGAUAGAUCCGUAUGACAAAAUCAGGCAGAUUGAGCAAGUAGAAGGUUCAAGAAACACAGGCCAUCAGAACUGUGAGCUAAGCCAUAGCCUAUGUGGCUUUGUGCUCUCCAGAACAUAUUGAGAGAGUGAGACUGGUGCCCACUGCAAGAACAAUUAUGCGCAUAUGUGACUAUCAGACGCUGUGGCCUUAUGAUUCUGAAAAUAGUAUAUUGAAAUAGUCCAAGAUGUGAAAAACUGAAACACGGCCAACGAAAAUUAGCUGAUCAGUUAAGGUACUUGAACAUUAGGUUAUACAGGCUAGACUAUGACCGAUUUUCAAGAUAAGAAAUACUGUUGUGGUAACGACUAACAAGUCAUGCCAGCGAUUGUGAUCGAAUUCGUUUUUUUGGAAUGGCCGACCGUGUUGUUGGGGCAUUAUUGGGAGCGCAUUUUGACCCGGUAGCAAUUUGAGCUUCAUCGAGAAUUGAUUCUUGGAUUAAUGUGAACCCGCUCAAUAGCUUUGGCCUAGUUUGUGCCGUGCUGGCUAAAAUUUGGAUAAGUUAGGGGACGAGGUGGUUAGUUAAUCCGUGGUAUUUCUUGGGCAUUAGUAUACGUACAAGUAGAAGUUGUUGGUACUUAACCUUCGAUAAUUUUCUCUCUGGGAAGAUCAAAACAGAUAUGGUAGGCAUCAUCACUGGCAACUUGCUGGGUUCUAAAUCGAUGUUGCUUACUAUCUCUUCUGACUAAAUACAUAUUCCAAACCUGGUUAGUUAAGAUAACAGGCAGUGGGUUCUUUUAUUGACCGCUGAAACACACAGCAUAAUAGUUUUGUGUCUCUUGAUAUCACACAUGACAAGUUUAUUUGCAACUUGCAGUGAGAAUAUUUGGUAAUAGAGAGGAUAUCUGGCUUCCACAACUCCAUGAGUCACUAUCAUAAAUAUCUUCGACCUUCUCGGACGUGGAUUUUUGGCUUUCUGUGAUCCGCUCAAAAUGGAUUAGUGAAAGCCUAGUCUUUGAGACAGUUUUUAUUUGAUUUGAUUGGAUCAGGAAGAUUAAUACAGUACAUCAGUGCGACUACAUUUUGGAUGAAUUCUCGUUCUCUUGAAAGAAACAAAUGUAGCAGCAUUUUUUUAAUAGAGGUGCAUCAGCAUUUCCGGUAACAGCUAAAGGAAAUUUUCUUUCAGAAAACUAAAAGAAAUAGCCCCGUUUCUAUGAGUCGAGUUACUAUUUGUGAUGGAAGAAAUAUGCUUUCCAAAUCUUGAGUUGUCUCUGUCUUUGCUGAUCAAUGUAUUACGCAAACACAGUUGUUGCCUGACUUAACUUUCUUCUGCUAUUUCUUGCAUGCAGGGUCCAAUUAUCAAUAAUUUACAGGAACUUUGAGAGACAAGUCAGGGGCAUCUUGCAAGCCUUACAUGAAUGUUUUCUGGUAAGGUUUCUAUACCUUAUGAUGAUAUGGUGCCUGGCACAAUGUGGAGCAGCCUAAUUCUAACCUUUGCACACCUAACCAUGCAAAAUAUUGAAAGGUUUUGUGACAAUUUCACUGUAAAAUCAUAUACCAUGGUCCUUCAGUCAGGGAGAAAACCUGAAAGGUCAGGUACCUAUCCUAGUAACAAAAAUACUCAAGAGUCAUGAAGCAAACAAGUUUCUAACUUACCCACCUAUGUUUCAGCUUCCAGAGAUAGUAUGUCCCUGUUUAAUAGUUUCUUUCUCCUGAAAUGACUCUCUGUUUAAUGGUUAGAGAUGCUUCUGCAAGUAAUUACCUGAAAUGCACAACCUUAUUCUCCUAAUUCUUGAUUCGGUUAAAUGGGCUUUCCAAUUCAUUUGUGCAUAAGGGAUGCACUUACCUGCUUAAACUGCAACAUGACUUAAUCAUCUAUCUACCAAAUCUAGAAUUUUAUUGGCAAUACAAGAAUAUAAUAAUUAUUUAUGUGAUAACAACACUUUAUGCUACAUAAUACUGAAGUGUAUUUCUUUUGGUUAAUUAUUUGUUCAAAAGCUGCAAAAUGGCUAUCACAAAAGACACACAGGAGUAUCUCGCAGUCUUGGGUACAAUGAUAGUUCAGAAGCUGACAUAAGCAUGAAACAAUUGCAGAAAGGGAAGAUUGAUGUAUUGGGGUGCUUUGCUCUAGAAAAAUGGAAUGAGCUUUCGCUGAAAUAUAUAAAAAUGGUAUUAACGAGGAAUCGCCGUACCUAUGGGGAUCAUUAUGGCCACUAAUGACUCAGCUUUUAUGUAUUAGUUUACAAAGUUAGUUAUAUAAUCCUGCGUGAUCAUUGUAUAGCUUCUGGCUGCAUGUCAAGAAUACAUUCCCCUUUUCCCACCUGCGCUUGCACCUUUUUCUGUUUCAGACAAUGAUUGGCCGGCUGAACGACGCUCAACAGGACCAAUGGAACAGAUGGACAAGAAGGGAUAAAUGAAGAUAGCUCAGGAUCAGAUGGACGAUGCAUCGUGUCUGAACUGUAGCUGCUCGUUGCUCUGAUGGAAACUCAACCACCACCCUUCAAUUUGUGUCCGCAGUAUGUCAGGUCAGAAUUUUCUAUACCUUUUCUAAAAAAAAGUGAAGUCUGAACUUCCAUUGGCCAUUUGCCUUUUCCAAUAUUUCUCCGGGGCUAAUGUACCAUUAUGCAACACAUUUAGCAUUGCAGAAUUCAAAUUGACGAACAUUCCACAAGCUUUAGAUGAGUGAGGAAGGAUGGAAGGUAUAUUCCCUGUUCAGAUUACUACUGGGGAAUGAGCCAUGAGUUAGUUACGCAAGGAAUAUAUUUUGAUCCACAUGAAGGUUCCAUACAAUCUAUUGAGAAGUUUCCCCCUCUGGCCUGGACGGCUGGACCUUCUCUAUAUGUUUAGAUAAGUUGCAGCCUGAAGCCUUUCUGAUUGUCAUUGUCGAGGAAAUACUUUGUCUAAUUUCACUUUGCUUUCUUUGUUCAAAAUGUGACAGGAACUUGCUAUGCAAACAAUUGAAUCUAAAAGGAUGAUUUUUUUUAAAACAAAAGGGACAGAUAAUUCUAUAGUGAGCUGCGGUUCUAUGAUGUAUAUCCUCGGUGCUAUAUGAUUAUCUUUGAAGAGGCGCAUGGAAUUUUGAAUAAAGCCACGACUAUAACUGGUUCAAGUUUUUUUUUUCCUGGGCCGUUGAGAGAUAGGAACGAUUACAAGCUGCAGAGUGCAGUGUUGGUGCACACAGGUAUAGCAAUGCAGGAGCUUCCACCAAGACACAAUAAAUAAUAUAAUGGAGGACAAGAGACAAAAGCAUAAGCAAAUUCGAAAGACGACAAGCAAGGAGGUAGGCUGUGCCAUGGGUAUUUUUGAAAGGGAGAACAACGCUAAAAAAAGGGUCUUAUUAGUAAGCAUCAUUAGGCCUUUUGGCAAUAUGCACCCAAAAUCCUGCGGGAGUUAGCUGGAAUGCAACAUCGGAACAGUAUCUCAGAAUCAUAUCUAGAUCGAUAUUUUUGUAGACCCUGUACAUUGAAUCUGCAUUGCAUCCUAUCUGCACAUACAUACACUUUGUUUUGACCUGCAAAGUCUAGCUCAUCAUCUGGGAAUCAUAUAUCCUAUCUUUUUCAUCAGUACACUGUAUGUGAAGCUAAUCUCGGCAGGUGUACACAAGUAAAAGGAAUCUUUUUUUGCAUGCUAAAUUACGGUAUAUGUAUGCACGUAAGUGACGUAUUAGUUGAUAAAAGAAAACUAACACGGUCAAGUUAAACUUGAGCAUUAUAGGAAGCAAAAAAAAAAAGAUUGUCCGACUACUCUCUGACGAGAUGCAUGAUGUAAUAUAUUCUUUCUAUCAAGCAUGGAAGAUGUGGCGCCCAAUAGAGACAAGUUGGUCAAGUGGAACCUGGGCGACAUGCAGGCCUCAACCUCCCUAUCCCGAGUCUGUGUAUACUAGGCUCCAAUACUUAAACCACGUGCAAGAAAAAUAGUUGUGUGUUUCUCAGAAAGUACAAUAAUACAGCAGCCAGCCAGUUGGACAUACAAAAGACAACAACGUGUUCGCAGCCGUCCACGCAAGACGCAAUCUAACUGCUUGCUAAACCGGCCCAUAUCCACCUGAUCGUUCGCUCCUCAAUGAACACACAGCUCGAUCAGAAUCGGAGGAUUCACAUUUCAGGGGAAUAGGGGGUGAGAUGACAAUGCAUCUGCUGGCGCCCAGCUAGUAGCCAACCAUAAAGUGGCCAAGGAUUGGAAUCACCCGAUCCCCCUCAGACAAGUCACCCCAUCAACGCCGUAAUCCCCCACCCUUUGACCGCCUGCAGGUAGCGUUCGAAAGUUGAGAGCCGACUUGGGUUGGGCGGGGUACCCUUUUCCCCCACUGUCACUGCCACCCGCCCCCCUUUUUUCCCAUUUCCCUGGCUCGCCACAACGACGGGCGCCACCAUGCACCGCACGCGCGCGCCGAUCGACAUCCAUAUCCACUCGCACAGUUCGCCGGCCGGCUGCGCGGCCGUGCAUGAACACGGGCGGGCCGCGGGAGGCGCCUGCUCCGCCUCCGGCCUCCGCUCCGUAGGCUUUGUCGCCUCGCGCCUUGGCGCGUAGCUCCGCGGCGCCUAUUUAAGCCGCCUUUCCCUUCCCCGUCUAACGUUUCCGUCCCCCCCGGCCUCGCUCUGACACCACCGCUCGCUCGCGCGCCUUCGCCCUCUCUCUCCUCUCUCGCCUGUCAGCUCAGCUCCCGGCAGUCAUCACCGGUCAGCUCGCGGCCACCCUAGACGACCGCGAUCGAGGGCCUACCAGGGCUGCGGCUCCAUCCAUCGUGCUGCUACCUAUCAUCAAUUCAUCAUCAUCAUGCUAGAGAACCAAAAGCAAGCGGAGGUAGGCCACCCGGACGCACGCACGCACGCACUAACGUUCUCCCUGUCUCCUAUCCGGUCCCGAUUCCAUUCUCCGGCUGCUCUUUCUAGCUAGCUCCAGCUCCGAUCCGACCGGCCUAUGGCACGGUUACGUUCUCCCACAUGUAACUGACGCCGCGGUGUGCGCACAUGCUUGCUGCUAGGUCCUCUGGCCCAGGCUUGUGGCCAACAAGCUCUUCCGGAAGACCUCCGGCAGCCACGCCUUCGUCGCCGACUUCCCGGUCGCCGAUGACGACGCCGCCUUCGACGACGGGGGGUGCAGCCCCGACGCGGACGCCAGCCGCUGCGUCAAGCGGGCGCGGCCGCAGGAGCGGAGCAAGACCCUCAAGUACAAGUACGUGUGCAUUCAUGUUCGCCGGCUCGGUCACCUGCCGGCCAUUCUCGUCUCGUUUAUUCGCAUACAGGUAGCUGAUCGUUGAUCCAACUGCUGCAGGCUGUUCGCGAGCACGUGGAACGUGGGCGGCGUGGCGCCGCCGGACGACCUGGACCUGUCGGACUGGCUGGACGCCCGCGACGGGCCCUACGACAUCUACGUGCUCGGGUUCCAGGAGGUGGUGCCGCUGCGGCCGCGCAACGUGCUGGGCGCGGACAAGAGCCGCGUCGGGAUGCGGUGGAUCGAGCUCAUCCGCGCCGCGCUGAACCGGUCCGCGGCGUCGUCGUCCUCGCCGAGAGGGGCCGGCGGCGGCGGCGGCGGAGGAGAUAGCGGCAGGCAGAAGGUGCACCCGGUGCGCGACGGCGGCGGCGUCGGCGAGCUGGCGCGCGAGUACCGGUGCGUGGUGAGCAAGCAGAUGGUGGGCAUCCUUCUGACGGUGUGGGUGCGCGCCGACCUCCGGCGCUUCGUCCGGCGCGCCAGCGUCUCGUGCGUGGGGUGCGGCGUCAUGGGCUGCCUGGGCAACAAGGGCGCCGUGUCCGUCCGGUUCUGGCUCCACGACACGAGCUUCUGCUUCGUGUGCUGCCACCUCGCGUCGGGCGGGCGCGACGGCGACGAGGCGCACCGCAACGCCGACGCCACGGAGAUCCUCGCCCGGACGUCCUUCCCGCGGGGGCACGCCCUCAACUUGCCGCACAAGAUUCUAGACCACGAGUAAGUCACCCACUAUACUAUUAUUACUACUACUAUACCUGCUGCAUCGUAUCAGUAUCAGUGUCCAUGUCCAUCCAUCCACUAGUGCCAUGCCGGCCAGGAAACUGUGCGCUUGCUUUCCCUGGCCACGACCGCAGCACAGUAGGCGCUGACGCUGACACGCACCGCGCGCACGUAUGAACGUUGCAGCGGCCGUUUCUCUCUCUCUCUCUUUUUUACCACCAUUGACUUGAUGAAUCGUAUUCAACCAACCCGGUAGCUGAACCGUCCACGGGACGGGUAAACCAAAGGGUAGGUCUACGUAGAUAUCGCCGUAUCUGGGAUAGAUCUCGGUACAAGAUGUGCGAAGAUAAAUAUAAUGCCACUACCAGUAAGCAUACUCAUCGAUCGUGUUGGCGUAAGUGGUAGCUCACAAGGUUCAAAAGUAAUUUAGCCGAUCGUGGCAGGUCCGGUCGACCGCCCAACUGCCUGUUUUAUAUACUGAUGAUAUGCUUACAAAGUAUAAAACACACACAUCAGCUUGUGCUACUGUAAUAGUAAAGCACGUAGUCAAGACAGAGACAGAGCCAAGAUCAACCAAUGAUGAGGCAGGCUCUGACCGGGGUUUGUUUACGCGCUCUCUGUGUGUGUUCGUGCGUGCAGCCGGGUGAUCCUGCUGGGGGACCUCAACUACAGGAUCUCGCUGCCGGAGGCCAAGACCCGGCUGCUGGUGGAGCGGCGGGACUGGAGGACGCUGCUGGAGAACGACCAGCUGCGCGCCGAGGUGUCGCGCGGCGGCGGCGCGUUCCGGGGCUGGAGCGAGGGCGACAUCGCCUUCUGCCCCACCUACAAGUACCACCCCAACUCCGACAACUACUACGGCGGCCGCGCGGCCGCCGGAGGCGGCAGGAAGGGCGAGAAGCGCCGCGCGCCGGCGUGGUGCGACCGCAUCCUGUGGCACGGGGCCGGGCUCAGCCAGACGCGCUACGACCGCUUCGAGUCGCGGCUGUCGGACCACCGCCCCGUCCGCGCCGUCUUCACCGUGGAGGUGGACGCGCCCAGGAACCUCAACUCGCUCAGGAGCUUCUUCAUGUCCGAGAGGUUCGACAGGGCCAGGAGCCCCGCCGCCGACCGGAUGCUCCGGAAGGACGACGUCAACAGCGCCAGGUUCGCCGAGACUCUCUGACACGGACGACGCCAGGCAGCGCCGGUCUGCCUUACUUCGAGGAGAGGGUGGAAUCGUCACUCCAAUUCUCCAAUUGUACACAGGCAAAAGCGGAGACAGAGAGUAUAUAUGAUUGUUCAGUUCUGAGUGAGUGUUCAUAUGAUCGUAUCUACAGGUAGCUAGGAUACAGAGAUGUUUUUUUUCCACCCUGUUCCUGACUUUCUGUAACUGCAUCUGUACUCUUAUUGAUCCAAUGAGUAUUCAGUUGUCUCGAAUUUGUACCAUGGACAAGCAUGCCAAGAGAAAUUUGUGGCCCUAAACGAGUGCAAUCAAUUCUCUUCUUUUAUACAUCAACAGGUGUAAAAAAACAGGCUAUGGACGGCAAUUUUGUAUUGGGGGGCAUUGCUAGUGCCUGCUGCAGCGGGUAGCUUAAGCAAAAGUGUGGUUGCCACAAACACACACACACGCACACACAGGGGGGGGGGGGGAGGGAGAGAGGUUAUCACUUCUGAAUUGAGGUGUAUUCAGAACCACAUACUAUUACAGUUUUCAGCAGAUCUUGGAUGAUUUGUGAACUAUUUCAGUAUGUUACCUUUCUUCGCGUGUGUCUACGGUGACCCCUCAAAAAUGAAAACUAAUGUGGGCACUGUGGCAAGUGUUCUCCAGGGGAUUUCAAAACUAUUGUGGCGUGGCGUGGGCCAUAGCAAUUGGGCGAUACGCGGCACAACUGGUGGUCUGAAACUCGCAAUCCAUCCCCUAAAUUCAAGGGCUCUGUUAAGAUUGUCCCCCGUCUUGUUUCCUGCUGCUUGUUCCUUCUGUUUGUCAGGAUUCCCCAGAACAAAUCGCUUGAUCCAAGACAAGGAUGCUGCCCUGCAUGUGGUGCGAGACAGCAGUUUUGUCUAUAGCCUCUGCUUAUCAUUUAAGCAUGCUGGUAUUCAUGACUGUAACAAGCUCUGUGCGAAUGGCUAGUUCAAAUUUAUGCCUCCAAAUAUUGUACUGUAUCUAUGCACUUGACUCACAGUACCCAGUAUUUGAAAUGAAAAUCACCCUUGUUUAUUCAGAAAUAGUUCAUUAUGCGCAUUAUUUAUACUGAUUCUGAAUUUGAACUAGAAGGUAGACAUUGUGUGAACCCUGAACCAUCUCAGGUCUCCUGUUGUCGUACACUCUUUCAGAUAUUCCAGAGUCUGAUUAAUGUAUGGCACGUACUGGUCCUAAACAAGGGAUCCCCAAAGAUUCUCCCCCACCACAAGAGUAAACAUAUAUGCACAAAGGGUGUUUCUUUAAGGAACAGCAAAACUAAUUGCGUUGGACCAUUGUGGCGUUUCCACUCGAUAACCACACGAAGUUAGUUCUUAGAGAGCGGCAAAAAGAAAUGACCAAUCAUAUUACAUCAUGGAUCACCUAACACUUGCUAGAUCAUACUCAAAUGGGUCCAACCUUCCUCGAGAGAAAUAGCGAAAUCAUUGGAUCCGUAACAACAGUGCACCGGAUCAUCGCCGACGGCGUCUAGAAGAACUAGUAAACAGAUAACAUUUCCAAGUUGCGCUGAUCAUUAUCAUACUUAAAGUUCAUUCAGUUCAGAAAGGCUUUCCCAGUGAUGAAAAUUGCGUCUCUAACCCCCCUCAACAAUCACAUCAGCACACCAGCUCAUGAGCAAGUUGCCUCCUUUUUUUAUCUGUCUGAAAGCUCCAUUAAUCCAUGUUUUAGCUGGUAUCGCGUGGCAGAGCGUUGCAGAAGAAAUACCAUCUUUCAUCCAUGACAUAGGGCAAAGAUUUCGCAGGAGACAACAGCACUUCUAUCAGAUGAUGAUGCAAGUUGCUUGCUGGUCUCAAGAAUGGCAAGUUGUUGGUAGGCCCUGGCUAUCCUCAAAUGGGCUCGCAGGUCAACCCCUCCACAGCCACUUACCAUGCUGAGGUAGCAAGGGGAGGAAGAACACUUCUGGUGAGACAGGAAAUGGUCUAGAGUGAUCUGUGUCCUUCGUCGCCUGCUUGCUGGAGAAAUAUCUUUGCCGCAACUGGACCACUGGCUGCAUGCUCCAAACAGAAAGUGCUAAGUGCUCACGCUAAGUGGCAGAGUUUCCGAAUUUGGGUUCAGGACUUUGGGCGCCACUGUAGCUCGGAAGGGCAGCUCUGGGGACUACUGGCCUGAUAGAUUGGGAGACAUGCAACUGUGGGCAUCACCACAAAUGGCAUGAACAUGUGGCGGCUGCAGGUCGUUUCCUUACUGCCAUCUGCAUGCAUGUCGCGGUCCUACUCCGGCAAUCAUGCACUGCAUAGGUUAGGUUACUUUGUCUGGCCAUCACACUGCUAGCUGCAGAGCUUUUCUAUGUGGCAUCGAAGAUGCAUGUUCUGGUAACCGGUAGAUGGAUACCUUCAAGCUAGCCUUCAGCCAUCGGUUCUGCGCUGACAUCCGCGUCUCUCUGGGUCAGCUACUGACCUAGUGUGGCACUGAUAUCUUCCCAUAAUCCCAUCGGAUGGGUUCCAGAAUGUGCUGAUCAGGACACUUGGAACAAGGCUGCAGCAAUAGUGGCCUUACCUAUCAACAUCUUCUGAAAAGAGGGGCUGCUGCUGGCUUUCAGCGAAUCAGCAUCCGUGUCCUUGUAUACUGUAUGAUUGGUGGUGAGCAACGCACCCCAAAACUGCCGGAGCACAGCACGAUCACAAUUCACAGAGUCAGCUAGUGACGAGCACAAGAAAUCGCUUUCCAAACUCCAAUGGAUCCGGGACAAGUGUCGAGGACUGGGAGCGAGCGAAGGAAGAGCAUGAACGCAGUCGAGACGUGCCGGAGAUUUGCUGCUCCGGCCCGUCGCCGGAUCUCGUCAUGCGCCGUCAGCCUGGGCCCCGGGCGCCGGAGCCAGUCCGCUAUCGUCGUCCGCACGCACGGCGCGGCCGUGUGGGCGAGGGCGACGACGCCGCCGGGCAAGGAACUAAGGAAGAAGGAUGGCCUCGCGCCUUCCCGGCUCGCACUCCGGCGGCGAGAAACGCGGGCCUGUCCAGCAGCACCCGAGCGACCCAGAAGCAAGCGCUUUCAAUGACCUGUCCGGCCUUCCGGGCUCCCGGCCACUGCCCACUCAGUCAGGUUGAGUCACACACCCUGACGGCCCAAGUAAGCACGUUGCUGGCCGCCCGUCUGACCUCGGGAACGCGCACGGGCAGGUAGCCGGAUCCGGCGUGUCCGUUCGCGCCGUGCCCAUUCCCCAAGCCGUUUGCAUCCUCUCCUCACGCCCAGCUGCCUUGAUGUCGCGUCUCUCUUGCUUGGAAGUCUAAAGCGUACGAAAACUCUAAACAACGCCGUGAUCGAUGCGCGCGCCUGCAACAGCGGAACGUGCUGAUGCAGCCGUCAAUGGCAACCAGUAACCACCCCGGCAAGCAACAGGCAGCAACGCUGGCACCACGCGCUCUUUCAGAGUCUCGGCUCCCUCGAUCUGCUGCCGCCUAUCCUGAUCGCAGCAGAUGAACAGGACGCCAACGAGGAGGAAGCGGAGGCUCUCCCCGGCCAGCACGCAGCCGCGCCUCCUCGCCGUGGCCAUCGCUGUCGGGUCCACGCUCCUCUUCCUCGUCCUCUUCCUCGUGCUCCUCUCCACCUCACCUCCCCCGGCGCCGUCGUCCCGCCUCGCCAGGGGCAGAAGAUCCUCCCCCUCCACGGCGCUGCCACGCUGCGGCGACGCGGGCCUCGGGGAGCUCGGCGACGCGAUGGUGUCCAUGCUCCCCAAGGACCUCCCGUUCACCGUCUUCGUGCCGUCGCCGGCCUCGUUCCGCCGCGUCCUGAAGCUGCAGGGGUCCAACGCCAGCGCCGCCGCCGAGGGCGACGACAACACCUCCGCCGUCCUCUCCCGCGUGCUGGGCUUCUCCGCGGUGCCCCGGCGCCUGCUCGCCGCGGACGUGCCGCCGCGCGGGCCGGCGCGCCUCCUGGACUCCGUGUCCGGGCUGAGGAUCCGCGCCUCCCGGGACGCCGCGCGCGGGGCGGUCUUCGUCAACGGCGUGCGGUCCGUGUGCGCCGACAUCGUCAGGGGCGAGACCGUGGUGCACGUCGUGGCGGGCGUCCUCAUGGACGCUGAGUUUGAGCGCUCGUUCACGGUGGAAUCUGACGGCUGAUCGUGUCAUCAGACACGGUUUCCGCUUCUGCGUUUCUUUCUUUGUUCCAAAGCGGAAUUUGCGCGACAAUGCACAAUACAUUCCCAAAUUCUCUAAAAAACGAUAUAUUUGCAAAUGCGAGACCAUGGUGCAUGUGCCAUGUCAUGGCGGAUUCCCAUCUGUUUCUGGGAUGUAGCAACUUGAUAGAUGGAUUUCGAACUCCUUUUCAAUGAAAAAAGUUAUCACAUUUGUAUACUUCCUCUAUUUUUAUUUACACGUCGUAUUAGGUUUGUCUUAAGUCAAAUUUGGUCAACUUUGACCAAAUUUAUAGAAAAAAAAUAAUAAUAUUUACAAUAAACAAUUUAUUUUAUUGAAUCCAUGAAAUAUAUGUCGAUAGCGUAUAAGUUGGAUAUUUUUCUAUAGAUUUGAUCAAAGUUAAAUUUGACUAAGACAAACCUAAUGUGAUAUGUAAAUAAAAAUGGAGAGAGUAGAAAAAUCAUUCAACAGAAAGGAAAAAAAAAUCCAAGCAAGAUCUAGAAAUUAAAGCCGACAAGGGAUGACCCAUGUUAGCAGGGGAGCGUUAGAGCAACUUCAGCAAUGAUUUCUAAAUUAGACCCUACGAAUGCUAAAUGGGGUACAGGCUUCCAAAUUUGCUUCAAUUUCAGCAAUAGAUCUCAAUUCUAACUUAUAAGAGCAUCUCCAAGAGCUUUUCUAAAAUCUACUUACUAAAUCAUCAUUUAGAGAGUCAUUUGAGUAAAAGUCAUUUUCUAUAUCUUGUGGUAGUCUAGAGAGUAAUUCUCGAUCUCCAUCUUUCGCUAUCGCUAGCGAGAAAUCUGAAAGAGUAGAUUUAUAUUUAGAUAUCCAAUCGAAGAAGCUGUUGAAGGUUAAUUUUUAACCAAAAUCUCUAUUCCUAAAUAUAUAGAGUCUUUUGGAUAUGCUCAAGAGCAACUUUAACAGUAGCCCUAAAUCAGACCCUCCAAAUACUAAAUAGAGGUUGUCUUUAUUAUUUUUUUAUUUUUAGAGGUUUCUAAAUUAAUUCAACUCCAACAAUAGUCCUCAAUUAUAACUAACAAUGGAGAGCUCAGUAGAGGGUCUGCUGUCCAGCAUCUUUUUUUAUUUCACCCUCUAGACUUUGAGAUUGGAGGUUGUUUAGAGGAUUUGUUAGAGUUGCUCGGCUAAAUCUCCUUAAAAUAGAGAGCUCAGUAGAGGGUCUGCUGUCCAGCAUCUUUUUUUAUUUCACCCUCUAGACUUUGAGAUUGGAGGUUGUUUAGAGGAUUUGUUGGAGUUGCUCGGCUAAAUCUCCUCAAAAUAGAGAGCCUAGUAAACGAUAUACUAGAGUGUAUCCUUUUGAUUUAACCAGCUAAACUCAAUAUAAGAGGCUGCUUAGAGGCCUGCUGAAGUUGCCCUCAAAUGGAUAGAGAUGGAGAGACGAGCAAGAGCAUGAUGCGAUUCAAUCGAUUGGAUCCAAUCGGUGCAAAAAGAUAAAGGUGAGAUGGCUAGAGAUGGAGACACGAGCAAGAGCAUUAUGCGAUUCAAUCGAUUGGUAUCCAUCGGAUCCAAUCGGUGCAAAAAGAUAAAGGUGAGAGACAAAUGGGUCCAUUCACUCAGCCUGUAAAAUGAAAACGAAAAAGAAAAAUAGAAGAAAUCUUUCAAAUCAGAAAAAUUCACGUUCGGAAAGUUUUUAAAAGACUUGCGAAUCAAGAGUUCAAAGACGCAAGGCGUGCCAAUUCAGUGUGAAAAAAAAAAAUUUGGAACUUUUGAGAUCACGUCCCCACUCUUAGCGCGAGCUGGCUGCAUAAACAUUGUGAUGUAGUGUUAUGAUCCAAACACAAAUGACUUAAGAAAGUUAUUGUUUACUGGCCAACGCAUGAGUAAUAGUUUGCAGGUCUUUAAUAAUGUACACACGACAGUGAGAGACGUAAAGUUCAGUUUGCAACAGAUAGGAGCUAAUAAGUACAACCAGAAAAGAUAACAGCGAACUACUCAAUCUAAUUUACAGAUUCAAAUCCACAAAACCAGAAAUCCAUCAGCCUAAUAACAUAGCAAAUAAUUUACAGUAAUACCAAAGAGUUCAAGAUGCUUUCACUAGCAUAAUAAAUCUCCAUUUAUUUCGCCAACAGGAACACAUCACUUUUCCUCCUUGUCCAGUAGUAGUCUCACUGAAGAAAAAUAGAACAAAACCUAUGAUAAUUCUAUGUCAUAAUUUUUAUUUUUUUCUUCAGUCUAACAGUGUCAAUCUUGAAAUUGGUAUAUGGUUAAGGACGAGUAAACUUACAAGAUUGACCAAGUUACAAAAUUGGUAUACAUGCACUAGCGUGUUCCCAAUAGAUGUGAAAUAGUUAAGGACUAGUAAACUUACAAGAUUGACCAAGUCUUUGUUCUGCAUCAGAAUUUUCUGCAUGUCUGCAGUAAUUUCAUCCUGAAACUGAAAUUAAAAGGUGGUAAAAAUCAUAUCAUAAUAAAAAAAAAUAACUAAUUAAUGGGCUGCAGCUCUUCUAAGACUAAUUUUCAUUCUAAGAUAUUCAAUCUGACCCUUUUUGGCACGUUAGGUUCCAGGAAUGCGUAAAAUGUUAGGUAGAUUUUAGUUCAUCAUGAUUUCAUCUUAUAUUUCUUUGGGACAUGGCAACAUUUUCUAACCCAAUACAACAAUUUAUUUACCUGCCUCUCUUGUAAUUCUCUGGACAUGACAACUCUAUGAAAAAAAUAAUUGUUCACCAAAUUGGUUUGCUGUUUCCUAGUCAUAAUACAAGUAACGAGGACUGCGGUUUCAUUUCAUUAUUUUUUAGCCAUAAAUAGUACAAACCUUGAGCCAAAGUUGUAUUGUACAAGUCGAAUAUGAGAGUGUAAACAAUUGAUUCAGUUGUUUUUUCGAGAAUACGCAGAAAAUGAUUCGGAAACUCAUUAUUCUGAACUUGAAUACGACAAGUCAAUUUAAGCAGCAGCAGCAUAAAUGCAUGUACCAACUUUAAAAUGCAUAAUUAUGGUAAACAGUAACUAUAGAUUAAGAAAUAACUGUACCUUGUGGGAAGUUAUUACAGCUUGAGCAUCAGUGCUGCUACGGAAAAACUCUCCCACAAGCUUGAAGAAGGGGACAUUGAUGAAAAAAAGAGAGAGAGAGAUUAGAAUAUAAUGUUAGUUCAAAUAUGAUGAAUAAUUUAAAAUAAAUCCCAGGAGAAAACAUAAUGAACAAACUUAAUCCCUUCGAUUUUAAACAUGUCCUUCUAGACUUACUAAGAAACAAAGGGAAUUAAGGCAGGUAGCAAAUUUGAAAAGGAGCACAUUGCUCAACAAUCGUUGCCAUAAUUAUGUUGGUUAGCAUGUUCACAUAAUUGAAUAGGCAUAUUUGUAUAGGGGCGUAAGAAGGUGCCUGCGGUUGCUGAUGUUCAAGGACAAGAGAUGGAUGACUUGAUUAACUUAACAGUGAAGAAUCUACUGAACUUUCCAGGUGAGCAAAAAAGUAUAUCAGACAAUUGUUUUUUUUGGAAAAGAAACUUGAUUAAAUUUUCUCAUUCUUGUUCCCGUAAGAUACUUUGAACCUAUAAACAUUAUCCUUAUUAAUGCAACAACACAUAUGUUAGCAUUGCAUAAAUCAGCCAUAUUUUACAGAUGUAAAAGUUGCCCUGAUCUCAUAUAUUUCCCAGGAAUCAAUAAUUUUUACUAUUUACUGACAAGAGAUCAUUUAUCCAGCACAAUUUUUUCAAUGUAAACAUUCAAAAUGCAUUCAGAUAAAAAUAACUAUGUACAAAAUGAAGGGUGCUCUUAAGCUGAAUUAUAUGUAUCUAGUGAUCCUAGCAUACACUAACAUCAAUUCAUCGUAUGCCUUUGGAGUUUGGAUAUUGUUUCAACAAUCAAUAAUAACUCUAAGAAAGCAAUAAUUACCUCUAAUAUGCCGUUUAUUGCUUUUUGGAGAGCCAGCUUAACAUCAGUAGAAUCAAGAUAUCCACUUUCACAAUCAACAAUAAGUUCCUCCAUGCUUGAAAAUAUCCUGUACAAAGGUUACAAAGCAAAUAAUUAAUAUCGCAUUGAAUUAUAGCACUUAUAUUUGCAGUACUGUAAGACCAUGUUACCAAACAACUCUUUAGCUAAGGUGAUUUACAAAAUAGACCUUUCACAAACACGUUGAAGAAAAGCAGAGCAGAGGAAAGGUUUUUAAAUUCCCUUGUAAUUCUUGGAGCCUGGAGGUUAUGGAAACAUUGCAAUGAUUGUGUUUUCAAUGGUGUCUCCCCUCAUGGGAGUAACCCGUGACCCCUGUGUUGGUGCCAUAUGGAUCAGCUGACACCCUUAACUCUGGAGUAGAUCGUCUGUAUCUCAUGUAUGGCAUAAAUGUAUGUUUAAUACUCCCUCCGUUCCAAGUUAUAGAUCGUUUUAGCUUUUUUAGAUACAUAGCUUUUGCUAUGCAUUUAGAUAUACAUUAUGUAUCUAGAAAGCUAAAACAACCAACAAAUUGGAAUAGAGGGAAUAUAUGAUAUGUUGGAAUGGGUCUUCUCUAACAUACCAUCUGUACUACGUCCUCUCUACUUCUAAUACAAAGCACACAGCUAUACUGCGUAUCCGAGAGGAAAAGAAACAGGUCAAAGUAACUUUGAGUAGAUAGAGUGAGAGAACUUUACUUGUUACUAUCAUUCCCUUCCUUCCGAACAACCUCCAAGUUUCCAAACCAGGGGAAGGCAACAGACUUUAUGUACUCGAAAAAUGGGUUGAAUGCUGUUACUCUCUGAGGGCAGAAAGCACUGUUUAUUUUUUCAUUUACAUCAUCCUGCAAUAAAAAAAACAUAAGUUUUCUUUACAGCUGAAUAGUAAAGGAUGAUGUUUGACAAACACCAUAAAACCUUCCCCUCUGCUCCUUUGCCUGAAAUAUAUUGUGGUAAACAUGUCCAUAAGUUAUAAACAGCACAGAAGGGCUAUAGUGUGAAGAAAUCUUACCAAGCUCCUUGUCAUGAGCAAAGUCCUCCUCGAAAUUUAUUUUCAGAGGCGCAAAUUGUAUUUCAUCACAAUACUUGCCAUGAAAGUAAGCUGGUUCUUUCCCAAACAGCUGUUCAGGAGAGUUACACAUGCGAUCCACCAUUGAGGAAUCUUUUUCUGAACCAAGACCAAUAGAGAUUGAACCCAUGAAGUAAAAUCCUGUAGAUUUCCAAGUGAUUUCUGAACCUACAUGGUUUAGGUAAAACAGCAUGUAACUAGGAAAAGGAACACCGGGAAAAAACCGGUAGUCAUCCUGACAUUACAAAUUAGUUCAGAGUGCAACACACACAAACCAGCGGAUCCAUGAAUAUGCUAGCUUAUGCUUAAUUUUAUUCGACGAAGCCUACCUAUGCAUAUGGUAUGGAGAAAUCAAAACCUCUAACGGAUUUUGUGAAUGACAACUGAAUCAUAUAUAGAGGUUCAUAAACAACAAAAUGGGCACUAGUUAAUUUGACAAAUGACACAUCACCAUAAUCAUGGGCACUGAAAUCAGGCGGUGAGGCAAACAUCCAAGCCACAUAACAAUGAAAACAUGUGAAAUUCCUAGAUGUAAACCAGGCUAUCACAAUAUUAUGAGUCACAUAAACGUCGGGUGCUGCUAAUAGGAAAAUUCAGUGCGAACGAAACAUCAAAUAGUUUUGAGAGACACCACUUGAUCAAUAAACGCCACAUCACCGAAAUCAUGGGCAUUGAAAUCAGGCGGUGAGGCCAACAAUCAAGCCACAAAAGCAACCAUGUGGAAUUCCUAAUACUCAUUGACCUGAACAUAUACGAAAACCACGGAUUUGAACGCAAUGUUAUUAAUGAAAUAGAUGAUGAGGUGCUUCUAAUAGAAGAAUUCAGUGUGUCAGAUACAUUUCUAGAAUUUAAGCACUGUAGCAAUGUCCAUACCUUUGCCGAGCUCGUACAGGCGAAGAUUUGUGCCAGCUUCUUCUGGAUAGAUCUCGAGAUUUACAUACAGAUUUCCAUCAGUUGACUUGAGAUCUCCGCUUCCCUGCUGAGGGCUGCAGCGGACGAGCGGGAUCGAGCGGAUAGACUCACCACCCUUCACAAAAUGGAGCAGUAGCUUUUCCACCUCCGGAGGGGACGAGGUGGAGGGAAGCCCCGGGUCUUCCCGCGCCGGCAGCGAGGCCGUGGCGCCGCUCGAAGCCACUAGCGCCCGCCCGCCCGCCCGCCCGCAGGUUGCGGGGCGCACGACUCCCACCGAUGGAUAAGGCGGUACGGCCCGGCGGCGGCGCCAUCGCGGAUGAUGAUCUCGACGAGGAGAUCAACCCUUCCCUCUCCUCCCAUCCCCGCCAUUGCCGAGCCGAGAAACCCUAACCCGCGGGAUUUGGGGGGAACGAGGCAGGGAGGGUUGGAGGGGCAGAGGAGAAUGAUUUCAGUUGAGUUGAAAAGCGGGAAGCGGGAGGAGCUUCCCGCUCGGAUUGGGGUCAGGAGAUCGAACGGUUCCGUGCGCUUUAGGCCUUUCAAGGAGACGGUGGAUGGCCACGCAAGCCAUGGCAGGGAACAAGCGGCGACGUCGUCAGUAUUUAGGGGGUGUUUGGUGCAGCUUCUCAACCAGCUUUUCAACAUCUUUAAGCGCUUAGACAGUCAAACACCACGCUUCUAUCCGCGCUUCAGAAACCAGCGCUACUCUGUGCCUUCGUAAAAGCAGCGUAGAGGAAAAGCUGAGGCCACCCCGCUUCCCACCGCUUAUGCGGUCUCAACGCCCCUCUCCCGACUCCCCACGGCGCUGCGCCCCUCUCUCAUCCCGUUCCUCCCUCUUGCGCCCCCCUCUCUGCUCCAUGGAGAGCUAGGGUUCUGCCCCGCCCCCUGCUCCACCAAGCCGCGCCGCCCUGCCCCGCCCGCGGCCGCGCGGCGCCGCCCCGCUGCGGCCUCCGCCGCCCAGCCCCGCCCCGGGGCCCGCGCCGCCCCGCCUCCGCCGCGCCGCCCCGCCUGUUUUAUGUGAGAACACUGUUUUCUUCUCUCAAAGGUAAUCACGUUUUACUUGCAUUGAUCAAAGGGUUUUCUCCAUAUAUGAGGGUUCGGUGCUGUUGCUACUGUUCUUUACCCCAAGAUUGCAACCCUAGAUUUGUGAAACAGCUGCUUAAUCGUGCCUGGUCUGUUUCGUCAUAUCACCAAAGCUAUCUGUUGUUCACACUCUCUAGCAUCCUAUUUGAACCGGGGGUGCUGUACGGCGAACAAAUUCAACUUUAUCUUACUCUUUGGAUUGAGAAAUUUGCCAUUUACUCACUCAAUAAGACGAUAUCCUUCUGACAGCAAUACUGCUGGACCGAUUCACACUUACUCUUAACCCAAAUUGCAUUAUUGAUGUAAAUAUUUACGAUGAUCUUAUAUAGUUUUGCAGGUACUGAGUUGCAGGAAUUAUCAUACCUUUCUUUGAAGGUAGGCCAGGACCGCCCCGUCCCGCCCCUGCUGCCACUUCUUCAAGAUCAACACCAGCAAGGUAAGGCAACGCAACUAGCUUCUGUGAUCUACUUUGUGCUAAUUUAAACAAUUAGAGUAGCUGUAAUUUAGUCACUGAUGGAGAACAUGUCAAAGAGCAGGAAACCAAAUGCACAAUGGGAUCCAACUGCUGCUAAAAUUUUUAAUGAGAUAUGUGUGGAACAAGUGUUGGCAAAUAAUAGACCACAAGAUUGUUUGAACAACAAAGGGUAUGCCAAUCUUAUUGCCCAGUUUAAUGAACGGACUGGCAGAAAUUACAACCGUUCUCAAAUGAAAAAUCGUUGGGAUGCACUGAAAAAUGACUAUACAACAUGGAAGACACUACUCCUGGCCGCAUCUGGUUUAGGGAGAGAUCCAAAGACUGGUUCUAUUGCAGCUGAUGUUGAAUGGUGGAAAGAAAAAAUAGAGGUAUGCAAUCUUGUGCUAGGUUCUGUUAUAUUAUAUUAGUUGCAUGGCUUGAUUUUAAAUAUUAUAACUAAUUGUGUUUCAGGCCAUGCCCGCAUGCAAAAAAUUUAGACUUGCUCCAUUGGAGAAUGAAGAAGAUCUUGAAAUAAUGUUUAGUGGUGCGUCUUGCACCAAUGUAUAUGCUGCUAUUCCAGGAGCAAAGGAGGGAAUAGCAGGAGCAAAGGAGGGAACAUCAGGAGCAAAUGAGAGAUCAGAUGGUACUGACGAUGAGGUUGAGGAGGUGCUUCCAUUUUCCCCGCCAGGAGCAAAUGCUAAGAAAAGAGGUGCUGCUCACAAAUCCCCAAUGAAGAAAACAAAGAAGAAUUUUAGAGACUUGCAGUUUAAACGGUUUGUGGAUUCAUUUGUGGAAAAAGCUAGUUCAAGCAAGUCUUCCGCAACUUCAUCUCCUAAUGAUUAUGUUAGACAAGAGAUAGCAGAAAUGUUGGAAUCAGUUAUUGAGGCUGGAGCAUGUGAAGGAAGUGAUGAACAUUUCUAUGCCACACAACUCCUCGUCAAGAAGGAGUACCGUGAUGUGUUUACCGCUCUUAAGACCCCAGCUGGGAAGCUUGCAUGGCUGAAGAGAACUUGGGAGGAGAGGAAGACACGCUAGACAUGGCUAGCUUUGCAUUGUACCAUUAGUAUCGUACUUUGAUUUUAUCUUGUUGUAUGAUGAACUUGGUUUUGAAUGUUGAACCUGAUAUCAAUAUUUUAUGGCUGAUACGAAAUAUCUUGUAUGGUUGUAAUCAGUUCUGAAAUCUGUGUGUUGUUAUUAAAUAUUUUCUAUGGCUGAGUUGUGCUCAUUUAUACAGAUGGCAUUCACUUCAAGUGAGUCUAAUGAAACUGGGAUAGCAAGUAAUUCAAGUGAAUCAAGUGAUUGGAUGUAUGAAGCUGCUGCAAUUGCAGCUUAUGCAAUGGUUGAUUGUGGGACACCUUCAUCUGCAAAGAAGCCAAGGAAAGUGCCGAAGGAGACAGGUUUUCAGUGGGUUCAAAGGCAGCUAAGUGAUCCAGAAAGUUGCUAUGACAUGUUUAGAAUGAGAAGGUCAGUGUUCUUCAGCUUGCAUGAGGUCUUGGUGAAUAAUUAUGGCUUAACAUCUUCGGAUGAGAUGUGCGCAAUAGAAGCUCUUGGCAUGUUUCUAUGGAUGUUUGGUGCCCCUCAGUCAGUUCGCCAAGCAAAGCAUAUUUUUACGCAUUCCUUAGAAACUAUUAGUAGGAGGUUCAAUGAUGUUUUGGAAAGUGUUAACAUUUUGGCUGCUGAUAACAUUAAACCUAAAGAUCCUUCUUUUGCUGUGGUACAUCCAAAAAUUAGAGAGCAUAGAUCUUGGCCUCAUUUCAAAAAUUGCAUUGGCGCGAUAGAUGGAACCCAUAUUGAAGUCACUGUACCAGCAUCAGAGCAGGCAGUACAUAUGAAUAGACAUGGAUAUUGUAGUCAAAAUAUUAUGGCUGUUUGUGAUUUUGACAUGAGAUUCACAUUUGUGGUGGCGGGAUGGCCUGGAUCUGCUCAUGAUACACGUAUAUGGAGGGACACUUUGUAUGGCAAGUACAAGGAUAAAUUUCCACAUCCUCCUCAAGGAAAGUUCUAUCUUGUUGAUUCAGGUUAUCCAAAUCGAAAGGGUUAUCUAGCACCGUACAAAGGUCAAAGGUACCACAUUCCAGAAUUUCAAAAUGCAGGGCAACCGAUUGGAUUGAAAGAGGUGUUCAACCAUGCUUACUCAUCACUUAGAAAUGUUAUUGAACGUUCAUUUGAAGUCUUGAAAAUGAAAUGGCGCAUUCUUCGAAAUGUGCCAAGCUACCCAAUGGAGAAGCAAACAAUGAUCAUAAUUGCUUGUAUGGCGUUACAUAACUUUAUUAGAGAUAGUAAUUUGAGUGAUGUGGAUUUUGAUAGAAUGGCAGCAGAUGAGACGUAUAUCGAUGAGGAUGGGGACAUGGGAGCUAGUACAAGUCAAUUUGUGGAUGAAGAAGAUAUGGAAGGUGUACGUGAUGCCAUUGCGCAAGCAUUGAUGGGAGGUUACUAGAUAUGUAAUAUUUGCCAAAAUAACUUAUGUAACAAUCAUGAAUUAUCUAAUAUAUAAUUAUUUACUUUGUGUUGUUAAUUAUUUUAUUAUUAGUUUGUUAUUAUAAAUAUAUAAAUAUACAUCUAUACAUACUAAAUACAUGUAUUCAGACAACAGGGAGAGUAUUUCAGUCAUUUCCCACUUCUGACAGGGUUUCAGCCCAUUUGUUAAGCAAUCUGCCAAACAUCUAACUUCUGUGACCAGCUGCUUCUUCAACCAGCUGCUUCUCUGGCCAGCUGGCUACCAGCUGGCUUCUGAACAAGUUCCAGCUAUCCCAAACAGGUUCUAAAGCGACUGACACCAGGGAACCCAGCGGAUGCAGAGACUGACGGUGGAACCGGAUGAGUUUGUGUAAUACUUAGCACCUGGAUUUUUUAAGACAAAAUUUCCUACUUGACACGGAGAAGUGUCAAAUGAGUAGUUCCUUCCUUGGAUCUGAAAAAAUCUUCUUCCUAUUUGAUACCGAGCUCAACUUUUAUUUUCAAAUUGACACUCCAUUUAAUUUUCUAUUUUAAACGCUUUGUGAAAAGACGGUUUUGCCCUUCCUAAACGUGGGCCUCACCGCUUCUUCCUUUCUCCUUCCUCUCUCUUUCUCUCCUCCCACUCUCCCAUGCCCAAGCACGCCGCCAUUGCCAUCCCCGCCGGCGCACCCUCGUCAUGCCUGUCGCCGCCUGCGCACUUCACCAGCUAGCUUCCACCUCCGCCGCCGCGGCGCUGCGGUCCACGUUAGCCCCAGCGGCUCGGCGGCACAACAGUUGGGCAAGCUCGCGGUCCGUUAGUGGGGCGGGGUGACAGCAGGGCUCGUGGCCCCGUCGGGCGGGCACGCAGCCUCUGUAGGUGUCGGACCCCUACGGCGCGGCAGCUGGGAUUUCGGCCGCGUCGGGUCGGCAGCCGGGCGGCGCGUCGGGUUGGCGGCGGGGUGGCGCGCUCGGGCUGGGUACGUGAUGCGACAGUACGGCGCAGCGCGGCGUGGCACCGGCGCCCAGCGGCAGCGCGGCCUAGGGAGGCGGCGAGGCGUAGAGCAUGGGCGGCAGCGGCGGCCUACCAGCAUGAACUGAGGCCGGAGUGCAAGGUCCGAUAAGACGGUCGGCCGGGGGAGGUGUGGCCAGAGGAGGCGCACCCAGGCCCCGACGGUGUGGAGCAGAGGAGGGAGAAGGUGGUAGGAUCCACAUAGGUAAAACCGUUUUUUCACAAAUUUUUAGAUGGAAAAUCCAACAGAAUGUCAAAUAAGGAAUGAAAGUUGAGCUCGAUGUCAAAUAGGAAAUGAACAAUUUUUUAAAGCCGAGAAAGGAAAGGCUCAGUGUCAAAUAGAAAAUUUUAUCUUUUUUAAAUAAUAGAGUCCAUGGCCGGAGUAUAAACUUAUUCUGUUAUUCUCUUACUGCUGCGGCGCGCCUCCUGGACUCCGUGUCGGGGCUUAGGAUCCACGCCUCCAGAGACAGCCGUGCGGGAUGCUUAUCGUCAACAACAUGCGAUGGGGGGUGGUAAAAAAAUUUAAAUUUUAGACUAAAUAAUUUAAAUACUAGAUGGCAAAUUGAAUUCUAAAGAAAAUAUUAGAAUUAUAAUCCGUUUACCUACUUGCGAGUGCGCCGACAUGGUGAGGGGCGAGACCGUGGUGCACGUCGUGGCGGGCGUCCUCAUGGACGCCGAGUUCGAGCGCUCGUUCGCGGUGGGAUCUGACGGUUGAUCGAGUCAUCGGACACGGCUCUGCUUCUGCGUUUGUUUCUUUGUUCCGAAGUGGAAUUUGCGAGAAAAUGCACGAUGCAUUCGCAAAUUCUCCAAAAAAACAAUAUGUUUGCAAAUACUAGCAUCGCUUAAUCGUUUACUUGCUACACAACUCUAGACUCUGGUGCGUCGAGAUUGUCAAGGGCGAGACCGUGGUGCAUGUCAUGGCGGAUCCCCAUAUGUUUCCGGGAUGUAGCAACUUGAUAGAUGGAUUUCGAGCUCCGUUUGAAUGAAAAAGGUUAUCACAGGCGUAUAGAAAAUCAUUCAGCAGAAAGAGGAAAAAAAUCCAAGCCAAUCUGGAACUUCAAUUAUUUCACCCCAUAGCAUGAGAAAUUCCGAAGUCCCAGCCCAAAAGAAAAUCAUUUGAUAUAUGUUUAUUUAUUUACUUAUAAAUUCAUGAAAGAAAUAAAAAAAUAGUUUUCACCUCGUUUCUUUAGGAAACGUUCACUGCGCUGUAGUGCGGCAUGAAAAAUCCGCCCCGAUGGACGAGUGGGCCGCACCAUCUUCCACCUGGGCCGCUUCACGCCACGGCCUGAUCGGCCUCGUCGCCUCUCUCUCUCUCUCUCUCUCUCUCUCUCUCUCUCUUUCUCAAGCCGCUCUGCUGGCAGUUACUCACCUUGCCUGUCUCGCGCGUCAGAAUGGAAGUCGAGGACGACGACGCAGUGGCGGCGGCGGCGAGCGCGUGGCCGGGUUCAACCAGGCGCUUCCACCUCCUUCAGUUCCUCCUCCACGCCUCCAAGGUGCGCACUGUUCCAUGCCCUCCGCCCCCCAACCCAACAACUGGACUCCCCGACGGAGCUAGACCUCAGCUAGCUGCUACCUCCCGUGAUUUCCACGCAGCGGCUCGACCUCCAGCCCAUCGUCAAGUACUCCGCGCUCGCGUUCUUCGCCGGCCGCUUCCUCCCCGCGCUCUCGAGGUGACCCAUCA
Molecule: long non-coding RNA, 36660 nt
Filed under: Panicum hallii
Lineage: Eukaryota; Viridiplantae; Streptophyta; Magnoliopsida; Poales; Poaceae
Description: long non-coding RNA (PHAL_LNC000945)
Source: RNAcentral